Molecule: unclassified non-coding RNA, 345 nt
Filed under: soil metagenome
Description: partial contains 5.8S ribosomal RNA, internal transcribed spacer 2, and large subunit ribosomal RNA
Rfam family: 5.8S ribosomal RNA (bases 1-119)
Source: RNAcentral
GAUGAAGAACGUAGCGAAAUGCGAUACGUAAUGUGAAUUGCAAAUUCAGUGAAUCAUCGAGUCUUUGAACGCACAUUGCGCCCCCUGGUAUUCCGGGGGGCAUGCCUGUCCGAGCGUCAUUGCUGCCCUCAAGCACGGCUUGUGUGUUGGGCCCCGUCCUCCGAUCCCGGGGGACGGGCCCGAAAGGCAGCGGCGGCACCGCGUCCGGUCCUCGAGCGUAUGGGGCUUUGUCACCCGCUCUGUAGGCCCGGCCGGCGCUUGCCGAUCAACCCAAAUUUUUAUCCAGGUUGACCUCGGAUCAGGUAGUGAUACCCGCUGAACUUAAGCAUAUCAAUAAGCGGAGGA